Molecule: RNA transcript, 10767 nt
Organism: Colius striatus (speckled mousebird)
Lineage: Eukaryota; Metazoa; Chordata; Aves; Coliiformes; Coliidae
Gene: POLR3A
Gene name: RNA polymerase III subunit A
Exons: 34
Source: RefSeq, a predicted model, not a curated record
GGCUCGUGAGGGCUGCGCUGCCGCGGAGUGGGCUCGGUGGCCGUGGUGGCGAGCGGCGGAGCUGCCGGGAUGUGCCGAACCGCUGUAAAAGAACCCGGGCAGAAGUUUAGCGUGCAGGAGAGCGCAGCGGGGCUGGUGUACAGCCAGGCCGCUUUUGCAAGCCACACCGGCGCUGUCGUAAGCGUUGCCGGGCUCGGCUCGGGCUGCUGGCGGGCCUCUGGGGUGGUGGUGCCUGGGGUGCAGCUCCAUGGUUGCCCGAGAAGCCACAUCUGUUUUGGCAUGAAGUCUCCAGAGGAGAUGCGUCAGCAAGCUCACAUUCAAGUGGUGAGCAAAAACCUCUAUAGUCAGGACAACCAUCACUCUCCACUGCAGUAUGGAGUACUUGACCAUCGCAUGGGAACCAGUGAAAAAGACCGUCCCUGUGAAACCUGUGGGAAAAAUCUAGCUGAUUGUUUAGGACAUUAUGGAUACAUUGACUUAGAACUGCCCUGUUUUCAUGUUGGAUACUUCAAAGCCGUGAUAGGCAUCUUGCAGAUGAUCUGCAAAACCUGUUGUCAUAUCAUGCUGUCAGUGGAAGAAAAAAAGCAGUUUUUGGAUUACCUGAAGCGACCUGGCCUUACGUAUCUUCAGAAGAGAGGCCUAAAAAAGAAAGUGUCUGAAAAGUGCAGAAAGAAAAACACUUGUCCCUACUGUGGUGCCUUUAAUGGAACUGUGAAGAAGUGUGGCUUAUUGAAAAUAAUACAUGAAAAGUACAAGACCAAUAAGAAAGUCGUAGAUCCAGUAGUAUCUACUUUUCUCCAGUCCUUUGAAACUGCCAUAGAACAUAACAAAGAAGUAGAGCCAUUAUUGGGAAGAGCUCAGGAAAACUUGAAUCCUUUGGUAGUGUUGAACCUCUUUAAAAGAAUCCCAGCAGAAGACAUCCCCCUGCUUCUAAUGAACCCCGAAGCAGGCAAACCUUCAGAUUUGAUCCUCACACGACUCUUAGUGCCUCCACUGUGUAUCAGACCUUCUGUCGUGAGUGACUUGAAGUCUGGAACCAAUGAAGAUGACUUGACAAUGAAGCUCACAGAGAUAAUUUUCCUCAAUGAUGUAAUUAAAAAGCAUAGGAUAUCAGGAGCCAAAACACAGAUGAUUAUGGAAGACUGGGAUUUUCUUCAGCUGCAGUGUGCCCUGUACAUCAAUAGUGAGCUUUCGGGAAUACCUCUCAACAUGGCACCUAAAAAAUGGACCAGAGGUUUUGUUCAGAGACUUAAGGGAAAGCAAGGUCGGUUUAGAGGCAAUCUGUCUGGAAAGAGAGUGGAUUUCUCUGGCAGAACAGUCAUUUCACCUGAUCCUAACUUAAGAAUAGAUGAAGUAGCAGUGCCUAUUCAUGUUGCUAAAAUACUAACCUUUCCUGAAAAGGUGAACAAAGCCAAUAUUAAUUUGAUGAGGAAGCUUGUCCGUAAUGGUCCUGAUGUUCAUCCUGGAGCCAACUUCAUUCAGCAAAGGCACACACAGAUGAAAAGGUUUUUGAAAUAUGGAAACCGUGAGAAGAUGGCACAGGAGCUGAAGUUUGGUGAUAUUGUGGAGAGACACCUUAUAGAUGGUGACAUAGUCCUGUUCAACCGACAGCCCUCUCUUCAUAAGCUGAGCAUCAUGGCUCACAUUGCUAGAGUAAAACCUCACAGGACCUUCAGAUUUAAUGAAUGUGUGUGUACACCAUACAAUGCAGACUUUGAUGGAGAUGAGAUGAACCUUCACCUUCCUCAGACAGAAGAAGCAAAAGCAGAAGCACUUGUUUUAAUGGGGACUAAAGCAAACUUGGUAACACCAAGAAAUGGAGAACCUCUUAUUGCUGCUAUUCAAGAUUUCCUCACAGGUGCCUACCUUCUUACAUUAAAAGAUACUUUUUUUGAUCGAGCCAAAGCCUGUCAAAUUAUUGCUUCUAUCCUGGUGGGCAAGGACGAAAAGAUUAAAGUUCGUCUCCCACCUCCAGCAAUUCUAAAGCCUGUGACACUCUGGACAGGAAAACAGGUUUUCAGCCUCAUUCUAAAACCCAGUGAUGACUGUCCUGUAAAAGCCAAUCUACGAACCAAGGGCAAACAGUAUUGUGGCAAAGGAGAAGACCUGUGUUACAAUGAUUCUUAUGUCACAAUUCAAAACAGUGAGUUAAUGAGUGGCAGCAUGGAUAAAGGAACCUUAGGUUCAGGAUCCAAGAACAACAUCUUCUAUAUCUUGCUGAGAGACUGGGGACAGGUAGAAGCUGCAGAUGCCAUGUCACGACUGGCCAGACUUGCUCCUGUCUAUCUUUCUAAUCGUGGCUUUUCAAUUGGAAUUGGUGAUGUAACCCCUGGGCAGGGCCUGCUAAAAGCUAAGUAUGAGCUCCUGAAUGCUGGCUAUAAGAAAUGUGAUGAGUAUAUUGAAGCUCUGAACACUGGCAAGCUACAGCAGCAGCCUGGUUGCACUGCAGAAGAGACACUAGAGGCUUUAAUCCUUAAAGAACUCUCAGUUAUCAGAGAUCACGCUGGCAGUGCCUGUCUCAGAGAACUGGACAAGAGCAACAGUCCCCUUAUCAUGGCUCUCUGUGGUUCUAAAGGCUCCUUCAUUAAUAUAUCCCAGAUGAUUGCCUGUGUAGGUCAGCAGGCUAUCAGUGGGUCCAGAGUUCCUGAUGGAUUUGAGAACAGAUCCUUGCCUCACUUUGAGAAGCAUUCUAAGCUCCCAGCAGCAAAAGGCUUUGUUGCCAAUAGCUUCUAUUCUGGAUUGACUCCUACUGAAUUUUUUUUCCAUACAAUGGCUGGUCGAGAAGGUCUGGUUGACACAGCUGUAAAAACAGCUGAAACUGGAUACAUGCAGAGGCGGCUGGUAAAAUCCCUUGAAGAUCUUUGCUCACAGUAUGAUUUGACAGUCAGGAGUUCUACUGGUGACAUUAUCCAGUUUAUUUAUGGAGGAGAUGGCUUGGAUCCUGCAGCCAUGGAAGGGAAGGAUGAGCCGCUGGAAUUCAAACGCGUUCUAGACAAUAUCAGGGCUGUUUAUCCAUGCCGAAGUGAACCAGCCCUGAGCAAAAACGAGCUGGUGUUAACAUCCGAGUCCAUCAUGAAGAAGAAUGAAUUUCUUUGCUGCCGAGACAGUUUUCUGCAGGAAAUCAAAAAAUUCAUCAAAGGGGUUUCUGAGAAGAUAAAAAAAACUAGAGACAAGUAUGGCAUCAAUGACAAUGGCACAACAGAGCCACGAGUUCUGUAUCAGUUGGAUAGGAUUACUCCAACACAACUAGAGAAGUUUCUAGAGACUUGUAGGGACAAAUACAUGAGGGCACAAAUGGAGCCUGGUUCUGCAGUAGGAGCCCUCUGUGCACAGAGCAUCGGGGAACCUGGCACUCAGAUGACUCUGAAGACUUUCCAUUUUGCUGGUGUUGCUUCAAUGAAUAUUACUUUGGGUGUGCCAAGAAUCAAAGAAAUCAUUAAUGCUUCAAAGGCUAUUAGCACCCCUAUUAUAACAGCACAGUUGGACAAAGAUGAUGAUCCCGAUUUUGCCCGUCUGGUUAAAGGAAGGAUUGAGAAAACUUUAUUAGGAGAGAUUUCAGAAUAUAUCGAGGAAGUGUUUCUUCCAGAUGAUUGUUUCAUCCUUGUGAAGCUGUCUUUAGAGCGUAUUAGGCUACUGAGAUUAGAGGUGAACGCAGAGACUGUGCGCUACUCUAUUUGCAUAUCUAAACUCAGGGUAAAGCCUGGGGAUGUUGCUGUCCAUGGAGAAGCAGUUGUGUGUGUGACCCCUCGUGAAAACAGCAAGAGUUCCAUGUAUUAUGUAUUGCAGUCCCUGAAGGAAGAACUACCCAAGGUUGUAGUGCAAGGUAUACCAGAGGUUUCCCGAGCUGUCAUUCAUAUCGAUGAACAAAGUGGAAAGGAAAAAUACAAACUUCUAGUUGAAGGUGAUAAUCUUCGAGCUGUUAUGGCUACUCACGGGGUGAAGGGAACAAAAACAUCUUCUAACAACACUUAUGAGGUAGAGAAGACACUAGGAAUUGAAGCUGCUCGGACAACCAUCAUCAAUGAGAUUCAGUAUACGAUGGUCAACCAUGGUAUGAGCAUUGACAGGAGGCACGUUAUGUUGCUGUCUGAUCUAAUGACCUACAAGGGUGAAGUUCUGGGUAUUACCAGGUUUGGACUGGCAAAAAUGAAGGAAAGCGUGUUGAUGCUGGCUUCUUUUGAAAAGACUGCAGACCAUCUCUUCGAUGCUGCCUACUUUGGACAGAAGGAUUCUGUUUGUGGUGUUUCUGAGUGCAUCAUCAUGGGAAUUCCGAUGAAUAUUGGAACGGGACUCUUUAAACUGUUGCACAAAGCAGACAAAGAAUCAACUCCUCCUAGGAGGCCUCUGAUAUUUGAUAAUAAUGAAUUUCAUAUUCCCAUUGUUACAUAGCACUUGGCCAUCAUACAAGAUAGCAAAACAAGGAAUAGCAGGAAAACAUCAUUUAAAUCAAGAAACGUGUAGUAUCGGUGUCUCGGUAACUGUGAAUUGUGAGAUCUCUUUACUGAGUGGCUGAGACUGAAAUGUGAGAACAGUUUUCUGUCCUGAUACCAGUUAAAUGGCAAAGCAGUAGGAGUAGCUGAAUAAUUACUUCCAAAAACACAUCAGUAGGUACUUGGUGAUGGAGAGAUGUCUCCCUCUCUGCCCUAAAAACAAAACCUCGCCUGUGGUCCCUCUGUUUGGAACAUGGACAAUGACUUGCUUGUCUGGUGGGAGCUCGUGGAGAAGCCAGGACGCCUGGUGGUAGGCAGAGGCCACGCUCAAUGCUGAAGCGCACCCUUUGUACCAAGGGACUGGCUGAGAAUGGAGCAGAACGUGAGCAGAAGUGAAGAGGGAGAGAAUAAUGAAGAAAUCAAAUGGAGAAGCUAAGUAAAGCUUUACUUUCUGAGACUGUUGCAGGAGGGUUAAAUAUUUGCUGGGCAGGAGCGUUUUGGUAAGGUGUGCAGCUUUAGUUGCUGGUGGUUGAAGUUAAGCCGGAGUGCAAACCUAUAUGAUACUACUCUACAAUGUGUGUAGCCUACAGAAUUUAGACAGAAGACUAGAUACAGGCAUGACAGGGUUAUAAUUUUUACAGAUGAGGUUUACAAUAAUUAACCUGAAUCCUUAGAGAAAUUACUGUCCUCUCCCUAUAGUAUUUGUAUUUGGUGAGAAGAGUACUUAAGGUCAAAGUAUGCAGGUAGGCAUCAUAGUUCAAAUUAAUUAGUAAACCAAUAAGCAGGGGUUUUUUUAAAGUCUCUUCAUUAAAACAACAAAAAAAGUAAUGAAGGUACUUUUCUAGUAUGUUUAUCAGGAAACUACUUUACACGUGUCUCUUAUCAGCAGAGAUAAGAAAAGGGAAACACGUGCUAUAUGGGCUUCCUGUUGUGAAUAUGGGAAGCUGGGAAUAAAUCUUUGGUCUGUAACUGAUAAAUCUAGAACAGUUAGUUCUUGCUUCUUUGCUCCAGAACUUGAAAACAUUUGGUAUAGAUGGCUAUGUCUAUUUUUUCUACUUUACCUUUGAUUUAAAAGAAGAAAAAAAACAAGAAAGUAAAUGAAUGCUGCAUUUUAUAAAGUAUCUACAAGUAGGAUAGAAUUUGUUUCCUUCAGGACUAAUACUCCUUGAUGCCAGACCGUGUCUCACUGCUUUGGUAUAAGCUGAAGGAACCACUGCAACAGAUUCCUCCCUUCUGGGCCUGUAGUGACUGUCAGUGCUGGUGACACUGCUUCCCCGCAGCAGCGCUACAUCAACGAGGCUGUGCCACUGGCUGGCUUCAACUCAGCCAUGCAAGGUUACUGUGAACCUUUGCCUGGAGGAUAAUUAAACCACUCAAGGAAAAAAUAUCUCCUCAGCACAUCUGGAUGUGGAAAUUUACUGCCAUCAAAAUUACAAUUGUGGUCAACUAACUUUCAAAAGAAGUGACCGUCUUCUUAUACAAGGAAACAUAUCCGUGCUUUAAACCCUGCUUCAUGGGGCUCUUUGUCAGCACUAAAAGCCAUUCUGCUGUUUAAUUCUCCACUUACUUUUACUCUUUAGUGGUCCUUCCCACUUACCUGACACAAAUGUUAUAUCCCAUGCUGGUGUUUGGAUGGAUUCUGUUGAGAAUAAAAGUGAGGAGAAGCAACGAUCGGCACAGCAGCUUGGUACGUAGGUGGCACAUGGAGGCUGCUGCACACUUGUAGGACCUGGGGAAAUCUUUAGGCUUUCUGUACUUUAGAUUCAAUCUAUUAAAUGAUAAUAGUCUCUCCUUAGCAACAUGGUUUUGAGAGGAGAUGAUAGAAUCAUCAAGGUGAGUGAAGGGACUGCGCUUGUGGAAACUUACGUGCUGAACAGAGGUUUGGUAAAUGGCAUGUACUUGUCUUGCUAGGAUUUUCUUGCCAGGAUGUGUGGAUUAGCCAGUGUCAUUAGCAUCUGCCUUCACAGUCUUUUUUAGCCUUUCAUGUUCCAAAGGAAGAGGAGAAAGGCCAGAAGUUGCUGCUCUUCAAGUCAGCUGCAAGACAUCACUGGCUUCAGCAGGAAAAGGGGAGGGCAAUGCAAUGAAGCUCUUUGCUGCCAUUAAUAUUGUUGGAGGGGGAAGGAUGGCAGCUCUGAGAAUGAGUUAAGGGAAAAUAUUCUAACAGUACAAAUAGCCCAUGGUAAAAAGGAUACUAUUUGAGUUGCCUGGCUGAUGAAGUGGAUUUAUCCUUCGUGGAAUUUCCCUAGCAGGCUUGCAGACUUUUUGUUUCAUUUUUUUUUCCUUUUGCACAGUAUUUUUAUUACCAGAUUGGGGCUUAAUCUGAGUCCCCUGGAAACCAAUUAGAGAAGUUGAAUUUGGCAGAACUGGAUGAGCUUUGAUAUAUGCAUUAUAUGAACUAUUUCUAUCCAUCAAACUCCUACCAGUUAAUGCAUCUUGGUAAGUUCCAAACAGUUGCACAACACUUCUCUAAACAUCACUGCUGCAGACUUGAUCCACAAAGAGUCAUCUUAACCUGAAUCUUUUUUAGGGUUUCUAUGCUGCUCAGGACUUUGACUCUGCUCUGUUUCUGCUGUAUAUGUUCUCUUUAGUGUUGAGGUGGGGGGUUUCUCUUUGUUUUGGGAGUUGGGUUUUUUGUUGUUGCUGUUCAAUUUCUAAUAAUUUAAGGUCUAAAUUACUUCCAUGGCAUGUUCUGUUUAAAAAGUGCUAGUUGGCUUGAAUUGUUGAAUGUUUAUGUUUUACAUUUGUGUAAGGGGUGAGUGGGGAAAUAGAGAUGUGUGGAAGAUUUGUAGCUCUGUUUUAAACUAGAUGACCAAACCUUGUGGAAGCUGGUAAUGCAGCUGCCGCUGUGCCAAGCUGAGACAUUAUUUCAUUCCGGAAGCCUCUGAUGGCUUUCCCAUCCCUGCCAAGGCAUGUAGACUGGCACAGAGACUCUGUUCCUUUUACCUUCUAGUCUAGAGUGUAACUUAGGACUUAUUUCACUUCAUGUUAGUUGCUGUUUUCAGAACCAAUUUUAGUGAAGCCUGGGAUUUUUGUUAUGUUAAGCACUCCUCAGUCUUGAGUUGCAUCUUGGCUCAUAGUCUGCUUUGCCUGAGCAAACUGAUGAUACCAAGUUGUACAAGACUUUCUUUUUGUCUUUAUUCUCACUGUAAUCCCAGUCUUGUGUUUACCUCUUACAAAACUAGUUCCCCCCUCCCACCCAAGCAAUAUCCUGCGAUGGUAAAACUCCAAAGUUCUUCUCAGAUCAGAAGCAUAUGGGAUUGAUGCAAUGUUUAUGUAAACAGCAAUCAAUGGAUCCCUGUCAAACAACAGUUACUCUUAGCUAUGGGUAUGACACACAGCAUCUGCUUAAAGACCAGCAUGUUUUUUAACCUCCUGAUGAUAUAUGGUUUGUCUGUUUCUUGCAAAGGCUAGUAAAACUCUAUGCAGUGGAAGUACACUAGAAAUGCUUGUCCCUAUAACCCAUAAAACAGAUGAAUUCAGAAUGCUGGUGCAUUUCAUUAUGAAGCAACGAUAAUCCCCUCCAGCUGGAUGCUCCCCACAAUCCUGCUCAUCUGUGUCCAUGCAUGAUAAGCUUUUGGAGUCCAACCAAAUCUGGGUAUUGGUCUUCUCAUAUGCAGAUCUGUGGUUUUUCAGGAGCUGGGUUGCUGUUUCUGUUCCCCCUCUUAGCUUAAGCCUUGGAGAAGGGAUGAGCUCUUCAGGCAUGUGUGAAAAAUCAGGUGUGGCACAGUACCUAGAGAAGCACAGGCAACCACAGCUGCAGCAAUACCUACCUAUUUCCUCAGGGACCUCCAGGGACUUGCACUGCAGUGACCUGGACUGCCCUGGACUCUUCAAGGAUUGGCUUCUAUUUAGCAUCAGGAGCCUUUUUUGUCAAGUCCAGCCGUCUGUCCACAAUUCAAGCACUGCUCUGUGCUCACCAUCUGUGAAAGUGCAUUUUUAUGUGUCUGUGUUUCCUGUGUCACUGCAAGCCCCUGAGUCUUUCUAAAGCUCUGCUCUGCCAUGUCUGCCUGCUAGGCAUGAUGAGAUGUUUUUCUGCUCAUUCUGUACCCAUUGGGUUAAUGUCUGACAGCAAUUAUAUUCCUUCAAAACAACUUCCCUCUAUGCAUUUUUUUUAACAUAUUACAUUUUCUGAUGGCUGAAUAAAACCUGUGUGUUUUGGUAGAUAAUUGAGCAAGGCAUCUGAACCAAAGCCCUUUAGAAUCAAGGGGAAGAUCACUGUUACCUCCAAAGAGUCUUGGAUUAAUCCCUACAUCCUUUCAUUGACUGAGACCCUGAAAAACUUGGCUUUUAGUUGAGGUGUAAUGAACUCCUCAACACUUGCGUGUCUGUGAGCAGGAGAACUUCUCCUUGUUAAAAGUACAGAUGUAAUUCUUAGCAGAUCUGAGGCUUCAAAUAUGAAAUGAGACAUAAGAAACAACCUUCCCUUCUUCAACAGCCUUUAGAUUCAAAUCCAGUUUGAAAAUGCUCAUUGCUGACACAAAACCAAUGAUGAUGGUUAAACUGCUGUGGCUUAUUCUGGAGUCCUUGCCAUUGCAUUUGUCUGCCUCCUUCGACUGCAGUUUGGGUUUUCUUGUUGUGAUUUCCCAGCUUGUGCAUGGCUCGUUAAUAGAAUUACCUGGGGAUGGUUAGGGCAGGCAUUUGCUUUUAUCUCAUCAGUGCUAAAAGAAGUAAAAGCAAAUGAUUGGUAUAAAUAGCCUCACUUGGCUUGACUUGAAAACUGACCUAGAAACUAAACCAAUAACAAACUGCAAGCAACAGCUUUUAAAGGGGCUGUUUCACAUAUGCUUGCUUGUAGAAGUUAACCACGUGAGAAGCCAGCCCAGGCUCCCCAAGAAAAUCCAAUCACUCCCCCCCAGUUCUGCUCUAACCACAGGGGUACUUGGGCUGUGUUUGCAGGGUGUCUCCUCUACAAAAGCUGAAAUCUUCUUAGUCCUGUAGUAUCACCACUCUAGUAUUGCUGGUUUGCUUUUCCAGCCUGAUUUUUUUAUGCAGUUGUCUGAAAAACAGAAGUGAUUGUGCAUAUUCACAGCUCCAGGAGGAGCAAAUUUCCCUACCCUUUUCUUCUUUUGGCAUCCCCAAACAAACACCUGGCCUUCCUGCCAGGUAUUCUGCCCCAGAGGAAGGCUUGUCUUCCUCUUUUCAACAGGCAAAUCUUUAGUUACUUAAGUAAAACAGUUACUCAAAAUUUGCUUUAUCAACAGCCUUGAGAAAUUUAAAACCUUCAGCAGACAGAGUGGGUUUUUUUCCUCUUGAAGCUGACUGGAAUAACUGUCUGAUCUUCUUCCUUUUAAUUUCAAUGACCAGUUCAGCCCCUGCCGAGAGUGGGAAUGGGCCAAAAUAAUUACUAUCUGAAAACAGCCUAAUGCAGUGCAAGAUAAAAUAACCCAGAAGUUGUAAGACUAUGGAAUAAAAAAGCAAUCUAAUCCCCUGGUCUGCUUUCCUUCAUACUAUGUGUCAUAGGAGCUCACUUAAGAAAGAGCUAAACCAUUUCCUGGAGUUCAUGGUUGCACAUUUUUAGGAAGAUAAAUGAUCCUUGUGCUUCUGUGAGAGUCUGCCAGCAGCUCCCUUGGUCUUGCAGCAGGAGUGCUGAGGACCUCAGAGUUCAUGGGCAGAGCUGGUUCCUGGAGACAAAUACUACCAGGUGAAGUAUUUUGCCUGAGCAGUGCUGAGACUGCUUACAUUAUGUUUGGAGUUUGAUGGGGGUUUUUUCCCCAUUUUUAUGAGUGAAUGAGAUCUUUUGAUCUGCUGGCCCAUGAGAGGAGCACCUUCUUAUCCUGCAGAUGUUAAUUAAUUGUCUGUCAGUUGCCACAGCCUGAAAAAACCCAGCUUCUGUUGAGAACUGCUUAGGUGCUAAGUGUUUCAUAGAACACCUCUCACAAAGCCCUCAGGUGUUCACUUGCUAUCUAGGCAGCUCUUAAUCUUAACUCGAUGAUCACUUGUAUUUUUCAUACACCUGUCUUGGAGAUUGUAUAAUCUUCCUUCCCAGGAUCCACAGUGUUGUCAGCUUCCAUUAACUCGCUGUAAAUCUCAAUAUUAUUCUCUAAGCCUUUAGUUGCUUGAAUCAUAUGAUUACGAGAGCAGCUUAGCUUUCAUUACAAAAGUGUUGCUAGCAUACGUGGCUGCCAACGAGGCUUGGAGACCAAGGGCAAGAAGCAAAGAAAAUGUCUCCCAUGUAUUUAAGGAUUAGGAGUUUUCUUCUGUUAUUUUUAAGGAAAAUUCUCUACUUUGGGCCACUGGAAUUUCUGACUGGGUCAGAUCAGUGACACUGAGCAGGGGAUUUAGCAGUAGGACUGCAGCAGCAGAGCUGCUGCUGUGACUGAGGCAGCAGUAGGUGGGU